This 253-nucleotide ribosomal RNA is filed under the name uncultured bacterium. Its description in RNAcentral is "partial 16S ribosomal RNA". It matches the Rfam family "Bacterial small subunit ribosomal RNA", at positions 524 to 776 of the family's 1533-position model. The record is from RNAcentral.
UACGUAGGUGGCAAGCGUUGUCCGGAAUUAUUGGGCGUAAAGCGCGCGCAGGCGGUCCUUUAAGUCUGAUGUGAAAGCCCACGGCUCAACCGUGGAGGGUCAUUGGAAACUGGGGGACUUGAGUGCAGAAGAGGAGAGCGGAAUUCCACGUGUAGCGGUGAAAUGCGUAGAGAUGUGGAGGAACACCAGUGGCGAAGGCGGCUCUCUGGUCUGUAACUGACGCUGAGGCGCGAAAGCUAGGGGAGCAAACAGG